This 460-nucleotide ribosomal RNA is filed under the name uncultured bacterium. RNAcentral's name for it is "partial 16S ribosomal RNA". It matches the Rfam family "Bacterial small subunit ribosomal RNA", at positions 338 to 795 of the family's 1533-position model. The record is from RNAcentral.
CCUACGGGGUGCUGCAGUGAGGAAUAUUGGUCAAUGGACGAGAGUCUGAACCAGCCAAGUAGCGUGAAGGAUGACUGCCCUAUGGGUUGUAAACUUCUUUUAUAUGGGAAUAAAAUGUUCCACGUGUGGGCUUUUGUAUGUACCAUAUGAAUAAGGCUCGGCUAACUCCGUUCCAGCAGCCGCGGUAAUACGGAGGAUCCGAGCGUUUUCCGGAUUUAUUGGGUUUAAAGGGGGCGUAAGUGGAUUGUUAAGUUAGUUGUGAAAGUUUGCGGCUCAAACGUAAAAUUGCAGUUGAAACUGGCAGUCUUGAGUACGGUAGAAGUAGGCGGAAUUCGUGGUGUAGCGGUGAAAUGCUUAGAUAUCACGAAGAACUCCGAUUGCGAAGGCAGCACACUGGACUGCAACUGACACUGAGGCUCGAAAGUGUGGGUAUCGAACAGGAUUAGAUACCCUAGUAGUC